This 253-nucleotide ribosomal RNA is filed under the name uncultured bacterium. RNAcentral describes it as "partial 16S ribosomal RNA". It matches the Rfam family "Bacterial small subunit ribosomal RNA", at positions 524 to 776 of the family's 1533-position model. The record is from RNAcentral.
AACGUAGGUGGCAAGCGUUAUCCGGAUUUACUGGGCGUAAAGCGCGCGCAGGUGGUGGCGUAAGUUGGGUGUGAAAUCUCCUGGCUCAACUGGGAGGAGUCGCUCAAGACUGCGUUGCUUGAGGUCGAGAGAGGAGUGCGGAAUUCCCGGUGUAGUGGUGGAAUGCGUAGAUAUCGGGAGGAACGCCAGUGGCGAAAGCGGCACUCUGGCUCGCACCUGACACUGAGGCGCGAAAGCGUGGGGAGCAAACGGG